GGUCGAUUAGCUUAGUCGGUAGAGCGUGGUACUAAUACCCGGGCUUGCUGCCUGGGUAGUACAUGCCAAGGUCAUGGGUUCGAUCCCCAUAUUGACCA
This 98-nucleotide transfer RNA is filed under the name Puccinia triticina. RNAcentral describes it as "tRNA-Ile". It matches the Rfam family "tRNA". Rfam says of the family: Transfer RNA (tRNA) molecules are approximately 80 nucleotides in length. Their secondary structure includes four short double-helical elements and three loops (D, anti-codon, and T loops). Further hydrogen bonds mediate the characteristic L-shaped molecular structure. tRNAs have two regions of fundamental functional importance: the anti-codon, which is responsible for specific mRNA codon recognition, and the 3' end, to which the tRNAs corresponding amino acid is attached (by aminoacyl-tRNA synthetases). tRNAs cope with the degeneracy of the genetic code in two manners: having more than one tRNA (with a specific anti-codon) for a particular amino acid; and 'wobble' base-pairing, i.e. permitting non-standard base-pairing at the 3rd anti-codon position. RNAcentral also lists the same sequence under 1 other name. Lineage: Eukaryota; Fungi; Basidiomycota; Pucciniomycetes; Pucciniales; Pucciniaceae. The record is from RNAcentral.